RNAcentral lists this ribosomal RNA (785 nucleotides) under uncultured Nitrosomonadales bacterium. Its description in RNAcentral is "bacterial SSU rRNA". It matches the Rfam family "Bacterial small subunit ribosomal RNA", at positions 558 to 1341 of the family's 1533-position model. Lineage: Bacteria; Pseudomonadati; Pseudomonadota; Betaproteobacteria; Nitrosomonadales. The record is from RNAcentral.
GCGUAAAGCGUGCGCAGGCGGAUUGUUGAGCAAGAUGUGAAAUCCCCGGGCUUAACCUGGGAAUGGCAUUUUGAACUGGCAGUCUAGAGUGCGUCAGAGGGGGGUGGAAUUCCACGUGUAGCAGUGAAAUGCGUAGAGAUGUGGAGGAACACCAAUGGCGAAGGCAGCCCCCUGGGAUGACACUGACGCUCAUGUACGAAAGCGUGGGUAGCAAACAGGAUUAGAUACCCUGGUAGUCCACGCCCUAAACGAUGUCAACUGGUUGUUGGGGGAGUGAAAUCCCUUAGUAACGAAGCUAACGCGUGAAGUUGACCGCCUGGGGGGUACGGUCGCAAGACUGAAACUCAAAGGAAUUGACGGGGGCCCGCACAAGCGGUGGAGUAUGUGGUUUAAUUCGAUGCAACGCGAAGAACCUUACCUGGCCUUGACAUGUCUGGAAUCCUGCAGAGAUGCGGGAGUGCCUUCGGGAAUCAGAACACAGGUGCUGCAUGGCUGUCGUCAGCUCGUGUCGUGAGAUGUUGGGUUAAGUCCCGCAACGAGCGCAACCCUUGUCCUUAGUUGCCAGCACGUAAUGGUGGGAACUCUAAGGAGACUGCCGGUGACAAACCGGAGGAAGGUGGGGAUGACGUCAAGUCCUCAUGGCCCUUACGGCCAGGGCUACACACGUACUACAAUGGUCGGUACAGAGGGUUGCAAUACCGCGAGGUGGAGCCAAUCCCAGAAAGCCGAUCCCAGUCCGGAUCGGAGUCUGCAACUCGACUCCGUGAAGUCGGAAUCGCUAGUAA